Molecule: ribosomal RNA, 216 nt
Filed under: Hordeum vulgare subsp. vulgare (domesticated barley)
Lineage: Eukaryota; Viridiplantae; Streptophyta; Magnoliopsida; Poales; Poaceae
Description: Eukaryotic small subunit ribosomal RNA
Rfam family: Eukaryotic small subunit ribosomal RNA
Source: Rfam by way of RNAcentral
GUUUUCGACAUCGUUACUUUGAAGAAAUUAGAGUGCUCAAAGCAAGCCAUCGCUCUGGAUACAUUAGCAUGGGAUAACCUCAUAGGAUUCCGGUCCUAUUGCGUUGUCCUUCGGGAUCGGAGUAAUGAUUAAUAGGGACAGUUGGGGGCAUUCGUAUUUCAUAGUCAGAGGUGAACCAUUGCCACCAUUGCCACCAUUGCCAUCAUUGCCACCAUU